GGGGAUGUAGCUCAGUGGUAGAGAGCUUGCCUUACAUGCAUAAGAUCCUGGGUUUGAUCCCCAGCACCUCAA
Molecule: transfer RNA, 72 nt
Filed under: Ictidomys tridecemlineatus (thirteen-lined ground squirrel)
Lineage: Eukaryota; Metazoa; Chordata; Mammalia; Rodentia; Sciuridae
Description: Spermophilus tridecemlineatus (thirteen-lined ground squirrel) tRNA
Rfam family: tRNA
About the family: Transfer RNA (tRNA) molecules are approximately 80 nucleotides in length. Their secondary structure includes four short double-helical elements and three loops (D, anti-codon, and T loops).
Source: Rfam by way of RNAcentral